CCAGAGGGUCGGGCGGCCGCGGGUGCGCAAGCACGCGAGGAAAGUCCGGGCUCCACGGAAAUACGGUGCCGGGUAACGCCCGGCGGGGGCGACCCCAGGGAAAGUGCCACAGAGAGCAGACCGCCCACUGGACCCGCUGUUUUUGGACGGCGGGGCUAAGGGUAAGGGUGAAAGGGUGCGGCAAGAGCGCACCGCGCGACCGGUAACGGAAGCGGCAUGGUAAACCCCACCGGGAGCAAGACCGAAUAGGGACGGCACAUGGGGUGUUCCGCCUCGUCGUCCGGGUUGGUUGCUUGAGGGGCGGAGUAAUCCGUCUCCUAGAGGAAUGGCCGCACAUCGCCGCAAGGCGAGGACAGAACCCGGCUUACAGACCCUCUGGCAAU
Molecule: RNase P RNA, 383 nt
Filed under: Sphingomonas hengshuiensis
Lineage: Bacteria; Pseudomonadati; Pseudomonadota; Alphaproteobacteria; Sphingomonadales; Sphingomonadaceae
Description: Bacterial RNase P class A
Rfam family: Bacterial RNase P class A
About the family: Ribonuclease P (RNase P) is a ubiquitous endoribonuclease, found in archaea, bacteria and eukarya as well as chloroplasts and mitochondria. Its best characterised activity is the generation of mature 5'-ends of tRNAs by cleaving the 5'-leader elements of precursor-tRNAs. Cellular RNase Ps are ribonucleoproteins.
Source: Rfam by way of RNAcentral